AGGGUUCGAUUCUGGCUCAGAAUGAACGCUGGCGGCAUGGAUUAGGCAUGCAAGUCGAACGCCCCGGGCUUGCCCGGGGAGUGGCGAAAGGGUGCGCAACACGUGAGGAACCGCCCCGGGUCCGGGACAAGCGCUGGAAACGGCGUCUAAUACCGGAUGCCGACCGGAAUCGCAUGAUUCCGCGUCGAAAGUCUUCUCGCCCGGGGAAGGCCUCGCGUCCCAUUAGCUUGAUGCGGGGUGACGGCCCACCAUGGCUACGACGGGUAGGUGGUCUGAGAGGAUGGUCACCCACACUGGGACUGAGACACUGCCCAGACUCCUACGGGAGGCUGCAGUCGAGAAUCUUCCGCAAUGGGCGCAAGCCUGACGGAGCGAUGCCGCGUGAGGGACGGAGGCCUUCGGGUCGUAAACCUCUGUCACCCGGGACGAAGCACGACGGUACCGGGAGAGGAAGCCACGGCUAACUACGUGCCAGCAGCUGC
Molecule: ribosomal RNA, 482 nt
Filed under: uncultured bacterium
Lineage: Bacteria
Description: bacterial SSU rRNA
Rfam family: Bacterial small subunit ribosomal RNA
Source: RNAcentral